GAUGAAUGCUGGCGGCGUGCCUAAUACAUGCAAGUCGAGCGAACGGACGAGAAGCUUGCUUCUCUGAUGUUAGCGGCGGACGGGUGAGUAACACGUGGAUAACCUACCUAUAAGACUGGGAUAACUUCGGGAAACCGGAGCUAAUACCGGAUGAUAUUUUGAACCGCAUGGUUCAAAAGUGAAAGACGGUCUUGCUGUCACUUAUAGAUGGAUCCGCGCUGCAUUAGCUAGUUGGUAAGGUAACGGCUUACCAAGGCAACGAUGCAUAGCCGACCUGAGAGGGUGAUCGGCCACACUGGAACUGGGACACGGUCCAGACUCCUACGGGAGGCAGCAGUAGGGAAUCUUCCGCAGUGGGCGAAAGCCUGACGGAGCAACGCCGCGUGAGUGAUGAAGGUCUUCGGAUCGUAAAACUCUGUUAUUAGGGAAGAACAUAUGUGUAAGUAACUGUGCACAUCUUGACGGUACCUAAUCAGAAAGCCACGGCUAACUACGU
RNAcentral lists this ribosomal RNA (496 nucleotides) under uncultured bacterium. RNAcentral's name for it is "partial 16S ribosomal RNA". It matches the Rfam family "Bacterial small subunit ribosomal RNA", at positions 28 to 506 of the family's 1533-position model. The record is from RNAcentral.